CGACGCUACCGGCUACGGAAGAGACACCAACGGCCGGUCCUAUGUGGCUCAGUGGGUAGAGCGUAGCGCUUGUAACCCCAUGGAAGCGGGUUCGGUCCCCGAGGCUGCCCACGUAAAAUGUAUGCAAGCAUGACAAACCAAGCAAACUGCUCGCAAAUCCACCCGUGGCAAAGCCUACAGGAUGCAGCUCGCCGCCAAGGCCCAACUGCUAAGGGCCUCUACACUUUCUGUGCCACGU
Molecule: long non-coding RNA, 238 nt
Organism: Coregonus clupeaformis (lake whitefish)
Lineage: Eukaryota; Metazoa; Chordata; Actinopteri; Salmoniformes; Salmonidae
Exons: 3
Source: RefSeq, a predicted model, not a curated record